CGGCACGGGUGAGUAACGCGUAGAUAACCUGUCUUCGAUGUCUGGAAUAAUACGCCAAAGGGGUACUAAUACCGGAUAUCUUGCUUUUCAUAAGUUAUGCAAGCAAAGGUGGCCUCUGCAUAUGCUACUGCAUGAAGAGGGGUCUGCGUACCAUUAGCUAGUAGGUGGGGGUAAUGGCCUACCUAGGCGACGAUGGUUAGCGGGUCUGAGAGGAUGAUCCGCCACACUGGCACUGGAACACGGGCCAGACUCCUACGGGAGGCAGCAGUGAGGAAUAUUGCGCAAUGGGGGAAACCCUGACGCAGCGACGCCGCGUGAAGUGAGGAAGGCCUUCGGGUCGUAAAGCUCUGUCAAGAGGAAAGAAGUGUACAAUGGCUAAUACCUGUUGUAUUUGACGGUACCUCUGAAGGAAGCACCGGCUAACUCCGUGCCAGCCGCGGC
RNAcentral lists this ribosomal RNA (441 nucleotides) under uncultured bacterium. RNAcentral describes it as "bacterial SSU rRNA". It matches the Rfam family "Bacterial small subunit ribosomal RNA", at positions 98 to 518 of the family's 1533-position model. The record is from RNAcentral.